AGAGUUUGAUCCUGGCUCAGAUUGAACGCUGGCGGCAUGCUUUACACAUGCAAGUCGAACGGCAGCACAGGGAGCUUGCUCCCGGGUGGCGAGUGGCGCACGGGUGAGUAAUACAUCGGAACGUGUCCUGUUGUGGGGGAUAACUGCUCGAAAGGGUGGCUAAUACCGCAUGACACCUGAGGGUGAAGCGGGGAUCGCAAGACCUCGCGCAAUUGGAGCGGCCGAUGCCCGAUUAGGCUAGUUGGUGAGGUAAAGGCUCACCAAGGCGACGAUCGGUAGCUGGUCUGGAGACGGACGACCAGCCACACGUGGGACUGAGACACGGCCCAGACUCCGACGGGAGCA
This 345-nucleotide ribosomal RNA is filed under the name uncultured bacterium. Its description in RNAcentral is "bacterial SSU rRNA". It matches the Rfam family "Bacterial small subunit ribosomal RNA", at positions 8 to 349 of the family's 1533-position model. The record is from RNAcentral.